This 433-nucleotide ribosomal RNA is filed under the name uncultured bacterium. Its description in RNAcentral is "partial 16S ribosomal RNA". It matches the Rfam family "Bacterial small subunit ribosomal RNA", at positions 29 to 507 of the family's 1533-position model. The record is from RNAcentral.
AACGAACGCUGGCGGCAGGCCUAACACAUGCAAGUCGAGCGAGGACUUCGGUCCUAGCGGCGGACGGGUGAGUAACGCGUGGGAACGUGCCCUUUGCUUCGGAAUAGCCCUGGGAAACUGGGAGUAAUACCGGAUGAGCCCUUUGGGGGAAAGAUUUAUCGGCGAAGGAUCGGCCCGCGUUGGAUUAGGUAGUUGGUGGGGUAAUGGCCUACCAAGCCGACGAUCCAUAGCUGGUUUGAGAGGAUGAUCAGCCACACUGGGACUGAGACACGGCCCAGACUCCUACGGGAGGCAGCAGUGGGGAAUCUUAGACAAUGGGGGAAACCCUGAUCUAGCCAUGCCGCGUGAGCGAUGAAGGCCUUAGGGUUGUAAAGCUCUUUCAGCUGGGAAGAUAAUGACGGUACCAGCGGAAGAAGCCCCGGCUAACUCCGUG